Molecule: ribosomal RNA, 218 nt
Filed under: Hordeum vulgare
Lineage: Eukaryota; Viridiplantae; Streptophyta; Magnoliopsida; Poales; Poaceae
Source: RNAcentral
UCGUGACCCUGACCAAAACAGACCGUGCUCGCGUCAUCCAAUCCUCCGACGAUGGCAUUGUUCGUCGUUCGGCCAAUUCCUCGACCGCCUCCACUCCUAGGAGCGGGGGCUCGUGGUAAAAGAACCCACGGCGCCGAAGGCGUCAAGGAACACUGUGCCUAACCCGGGGAGAUGGCUAGCUUGCUGGUCGUCACCUGUGUUGCAAAUAUAUUUAAUCC